This is a long non-coding RNA of Magnolia sinica, 1106 nucleotides long. RefSeq lists it as uncharacterized. NCBI's taxonomy places the organism in Eukaryota, Viridiplantae, Streptophyta, Magnoliopsida, Magnoliales, Magnoliaceae. The transcript has 2 exons. The record is from RefSeq and is a predicted model, not a curated record.
CUUACAAGUCAGGGGAGGGCUUUCUAGAUUUAACUUGGUCGCUUCCAAGAAUCACUAAAAAUAAUUCUGUCCAACCUAUGUCACAUUGUGGAAGACACAUGAUUAAAUUGGGAAGGAAAACAGGAAAUAUGCUUCUGAUGAGAAUUCCAUAAUCCAAUCAGUUAUGGAAUUAGAGUGCAGGACAUCUCUUAAAAGGGAUUUGAAGCAGGAGAAACACCUGGUUAGAAGGAUCAUGCACCUAAAGUUUAGUCGGGCUACAGCUUGGUUGCAAUGAAUAUCAUGAAAUUUCAGCCUAGUUUGGACAGAAGAUCAUGGAAUUUCAUGAUAUCUGGUGCAACCAAACAUACCCUAAAACAAAAAUCAGGUGUAGGCUGCAGAGAUUCUUAAAAGUGAAGGAAAAAUGGAUCCUCUACUGCUAUUCCAAAAAAAAAAAAAAAAUGGAAACCUUUAUGUUGUGAGAGUUUCUCCCCUAUAUUUUCCCUUUUGGAGUUCGAAGCAAGUGCCAACGGAAUUUUAUGUUUAUGGAGAUGACUGAUAAGGCAGUUAGCACCUGGAAGUGCUUUUGCAUUCGGCCACCUAUAAAAAUGAAAAUAAAUCAGGCAUUUGUAAUGUCCAAAUUCCACAUUGAUUGCAUCCAUUCACUGGCUAAUGUAACUACACAUUUAAAACAUGGUAACAUUAUCAUCUCUAUGAAUGGAAACACAAGCGAUUACAUUAGCAGAUUUAAUCCUUUCUCAUCAUAACAUUGAAGAUCACUUAUGAUAUUACUAUUUGAAUAGAUGCCCUAUUUCUCUCUAAUUGGAGAUACUUGUCUUAACGCUCUCUGAUUUAGGUAAGCCCAAGAUGAACAUUAUAGACUGUCCAGCUUCUGCCUAAAACCCAUGCCAGGGAGUUGAUGUAAUCAACCUAUGCUGUCUAUUACAUUGUGCCUAUGGGAGUUUUGUGCUAUCAUUGCUGGUCCCAAGCUUAGAUAAUCAUCUGCAAUUGGCCAAGCAACUAUACUUGCAGGGUAAGAAGUCCCCGGGCAAAAGGAUAACUGGUUUUCAGGUAAUGCACCACCUCUGCAUUAUUUCUGGCUUUAAUCUUAUCAUGCCUUUUUUCUUAAA